Molecule: long non-coding RNA, 742 nt
Organism: Lotus japonicus
Lineage: Eukaryota; Viridiplantae; Streptophyta; Magnoliopsida; Fabales; Fabaceae
Exons: 2
Source: RefSeq, a predicted model, not a curated record
UGAUGCCCAGAACCCAGAAUUCUGUACUGUAAAUGUUUGGCUGCUGCUUUUUAUUUGUCAAAUUUCAUCCCAUGCUUUCUUUCUUUUUGCGAUCCUUUCUGAUGGUUGCCAUAAAUUUAUUGAAUAUGAAAGAAAUUAAUGCAUUACUAGGGGAGAAGAUGAGGAGGAGAUUUUAGCAGAGUUUGAGAACUUGGAAACUUAGGGAAGUGGGUUGUGUGGGAGUGUGUGUGUGUCACAUCUUUAGAGAAGCUAAUGUGGAGGCCGAUGAGCUAGCAAAGUCGGGAUGUGACAGAAUUGAGCCGCUUUGGGAGAAAGUGCUUUGAUCCUUUAUCUAUUUAUCUGUUCUACAGAGUUAGCUGGUUUUUUUGGGUUAUGUCCCUCUCUUUUAGUCUUGAAUUGGUUGUGGAAAACUAUGCACUGAUAUAUGGCAUCAGCAAAUACGAUUUACUUGACUCAGAUGCUGAUGAUCUUGCUGUGUGGUGCUGUUUCUGGGGUAUCACAGAACAUUUUAGAGGCAAAAUAAGGCACUGUCUUUUGCUGGAGUGAUUGUGGAGUCUUGGUGGUCCUUGCUUUUGGCAAAGUUGUAGGCUCAACUUUUUGUAGCCCUGUGUUCUGUGUCCUUUUAUUUAUGCUAUUUUCUGCUUUUGUAUCCUAGUUAGUUCUUUUCCUUUUUGGUGUUCCUUUUGCAUUGAAAGUCAUUCUUUGCGUGGCUUUCCUUGGCAGGUCUGUAACUCCUCAUGAG